GGGGACUUAGCUUAAUUAAAGUGAUUGAUUUGCAUUCAAUAGAUGUAGGAUAAGGUCUUACAGUCCUUA
This 69-nucleotide transfer RNA is filed under the name Meriones tamariscinus (Tamarisk jird). Its description in RNAcentral is "tRNA-Ala". It matches the Rfam family "tRNA". Rfam says of the family: Transfer RNA (tRNA) molecules are approximately 80 nucleotides in length. Their secondary structure includes four short double-helical elements and three loops (D, anti-codon, and T loops). Lineage: Eukaryota; Metazoa; Chordata; Mammalia; Rodentia; Muridae. The record is from RNAcentral.